This 465-nucleotide ribosomal RNA is filed under the name Vreelandella stevensii. RNAcentral describes it as "partial 16S ribosomal RNA". It matches the Rfam family "Bacterial small subunit ribosomal RNA", at positions 338 to 795 of the family's 1533-position model. The record is from RNAcentral. Lineage: Bacteria; Pseudomonadati; Pseudomonadota; Gammaproteobacteria; Oceanospirillales; Halomonadaceae.
CCUACGGGGUGCAGCAGUGGGGAAUAUUGGACAAUGGGCGAAAGCCUGAUCCAGCCAUGCCGCGUGUGUGAAGAAGGCCUUCGGGUUGUAAAGCACUUUCAGUUGGGAAGAAAGCCUUGGGGCUAAUACCCUCGAGGAAGGACAUCACCCACAGAAGAAGCACCGGCUAACUCCGUGCCAGCAGCCGCGGUAAUACGGAGGGUGCGAGCGUUAAUCGGAAUUACUGGGCGUAAAGCGCGCGUAGGCGGUCUGAUAAGCCGGUUGUGAAAGCCCCGGGCUCAACCUGGGAACGGCAUCCGGAACUGUCAGGCUAGAGUGCAGGAGAGGAAGGUAGAAUUCCCGGUGUAGCGGUGAAAUGCGUAGAGAUCGGGAGGAAUACCAGUGGCCAAGGCGGCCUUCUGGACUGACACUGACGCUGAGGUGCGAAAGCGUGGGUAGCAAACAGGAUUAGAUACCCGAGUAGUC